Molecule: long non-coding RNA, 3658 nt
Organism: Halichondria panicea
Lineage: Eukaryota; Metazoa; Porifera; Demospongiae; Suberitida; Halichondriidae
Exons: 7
Source: RefSeq, a predicted model, not a curated record
GAGCACAUGUCAUGUCAUUUGCAGCCACGAGAGAGCAAGACGAGGUACGUGUACCCUGCCGGCUGUCUCCUAAUGUACGUCGGUCACCUUUUGGUGAGCGCUAUAGCUAGCAAGGUGGCGACCUUCCUUGCACCUUCCACUUCAAGUAUGCAACAAAUAUAACUACUCAACGCUGCACAGCACAGGAUUCAGCAUUCAAUCACUCUCAUAAUUUUAUUGUCAUUUCAUCUUUUAUGGGGGACGCCCCACUCUUAAUUUUUAUCACUGAAUGGCUGCUGACGUACGUAUAUAUAAGAGCACUACAAGAUACGACAGGAAAGGCCCAGCUUUCUGAUCGAGGAGGAGAUGAUCUGCUAUUGGCUCUGAGUGAUGGAGUGGAUCUACCUCUGAGAGACAAAGGGCCAGUUACUGUAUCAUAUAUGAAUAUUCUGUUUCUUGUACAUUUCGUAGUAAUUGACUGUAGAGUAGCAUCUUGAGCUCCCCUUUUUUCAUCAAUCUGCAGGCAGUGUAUGUGAUUUCUGACAGGAAAGGCUACUCUAAACAGAGGGAGUCGGCCACACAAGGUAUAGUCUAAUAAUUAUUGUACGGUACUUAGAUGAUCUUCUCUAUUUGGGGUCAGAUGCAAUUGCCUUGAAUCACUAGCCAGUUAAAACAUUUCUUCUACUCUUGGCUUAAGAAAUUGUAUUUUAUUGUUGUACCAGCAUUAGGUAGUUAACUCCACUUAUGCAUUGACCUCUACUACCGUGUAGCGGGAAAGUUCGUUAUUUGAGCCCUCGAGAAAUGUUGUAUAGUUGUUCACAUUUCAAUGCCAGGAAACCAUAGCUUUGCAUGGUGCGUGGGAGUGUCUUCCAUUUAUAUUACGUGAAGUGUGAAGUGUGAAGUGUGUUGUAAGUUUGUACAGAGAGGACUCCCAUGGUGGCAAUGAUCUGAUGAUGGCUCCACUGCUCUGAUGGACCAAUGCAGGAGAAGUUAUUCUGUAUAAUUAUCACACUAAAUUAAUGUAUGCCACUGUUUGGAUCGGUUUCUGUUCUGCUCAGCUUCUUCCUCCAACUUGCUUACACAGGCUAAGCUUAUUCUUAAUUAGUUCAUUCUUAGUUCAUUCUAUAGUCUAGUAUUAUUGUCGGUUUGGUUGUUUUAUGUUUUUCACCUGGUCAUACGAAAUCACUUCAUUAAUUUUUAUACAGUGCAGACCGCACCUCUAUCCACACAUUGUACCUGCACAUCCUGUAUAUGUGGGGCCACACCCCCACUCACUGUACUGAUAUGUGGUCACACCCCCAUACAUGGUAACCCUCUUGACCACACCUCCACCCAUGCAUUGUGUCGUACAUGCUGUGUUUUUGUGUACAGUACACACAUCAUCCGUGUCUUUAUCCCCACACCUAGUCGGAGGGAGCAGCAAGUUCUACUAAGAGCCAGCAUCACCAACUAACCAACACUACAAAACCUACCUACUACCAGCUAGGACAGCACACCACCCGGGACAGACUCUACUAUACCAUGUAAUACGCCUUUGUAUUAACGAUCAUGAUACAAUUUGCUGCCCUCCCUCGCCCAUGGAUUGAAUAAUUAUGGACACUCGCAGGAGACUGACACACAAUAAUAGACACCAAAGGGCCAGUUACUGUAUCAUGUACGAAUAUUCUGUUGCUUGUACAUUUCGUAACAUUAUCAGUAAUUGACUGUAGAGUAGCUCCCCUUUCUUCAUCACUCAAUGCAGGCAGUGUAUGUGAUUUUCUGACAGGAAAGGCUACUCUAAACAGAGGGAGUCGGCCACACAAGGUAUAGUCUAAUAAUUAUUGUACGGUACUUAGAUGAUCUUCUCUAUUUGGGGUCAGAUGCAAUUGCCUUGAAUCACUAGCCAGUUAAAACAUUUCUUCUACUCUUGGCUUAAGAAAUUGUAUUUUAUUGUUGUACCAGCAUUAGGUAGUUAACUCCACUUAUGCAUUGACCUCUACUACCGUGUAGCGGGAAAGUUCGUUAUUUGAGCCCUCGAGAAAUGUUGUAUAGUUGUUCACAUUUCAAUGCCAGGAAACCAUAGCUUUGCAUGGUGCGUGGGAGUGUCUUCCAUUUAUAUUACGUGAAGUGUGAAGUGUGAAGUGUGUUGUAAGUUUGUACAGAGAGGACUCCCAUGGUGGCAAUGAUCUGAUGAUGGCUCCACUGCUCUGAUGGACCAAUGCAGGAGAAGUUAUUCUGUAUAAUUAUCACACUAAAUUAAUGUAUGCCACUGUUUGGAUCGGUUUCUGUUCUGCUCAGCUUCUUCCUCCAACUUGCUUACACAGGCUAAGCUUAUUCUUAAUUAGUUCAUUCUUAGUUCAUUCUAUAGUCUAGUAUUAUUGUCGGUUUGGUUGUUUUAUGUUUUUCACCUGGUCAUACGGAAUCACUUCAUUAAUUUUUAUACAGUGCAGACCGCACCUCUAUCCACACAUUGUACCUGCACAUCCUGUAUAUGUGGGGCCACACCCCCACUCACUGUACUGAUAUGUGGUCACACCCCCAUACAUGGUAACCCUCUUGACCACACCUCCACCCAUGCAUUGUGUCGUACAUGCUGUGUUUUUGUGUACAGUACACACAUCAUCCGUGUCUUUAUCCCCACACCUAGUCGGAGGGAGCAGCAAGUUCUACUAAGAGCCAGCAUCACCAACUAACCAACACUACAAAACCUACCUACUACCAGCUAGGACAGCACACCACCCGGGACAGACUCUACUAUACCAUGUAAUACGCCUUUGUAUUAACGAUCAUGAUACAAUUUGCUGCCCUCCCUCGCCCAUGGAUUGAAUAAUUAUGGACACUCGCAGGAGACUGACACACAAUAAUAGACACCAAAGGGCCAGUUACUGUAUCAUGUACGAAUAUUCUGUUGCUUGUACAUUUCGUAACAUUAUCAGUAAUUGACUGUAGAGUAGCUCCCCUUUCUUCAUCACUCAAUGCAGGCAGUGUAUGUGAUUUUCUGACAGGAAAGGCUACUCUAAACAGAGGGAGUCGGCCACACAAGAGAGGACUCCCAUGGUGGCAAUGAUCUGAUGAUGGCUCCACUGCUCUGAUGGACCAAUGCAGGAGAAGUUAUUCUUCGGAGGGAGCAGCAAGUUCUACUAAGAGCCAGCAUCACCCACUAACCAACACUCUACAAGACCUACCUACUACCAGCUAGGACAGCACACCACCCGGGACAGACUCUACUAUACCCAUGUAAUACGCCUUUGUAUUACGAUCAUGAUACAAUUUGCUGCCCUCCCUCGCCAAUGGAUUGAAUAAUUAUGGACACUCGCAGGACAACUAAGAGACUGACACACAAUAAUAGACACCAAAGGCAGUGUAUGUGAUUUUCUGACAGGAAAGGCUACUCUAAACAAAGGGAGUCGGCCACACAAGUCGGAGGGAGCAGCAAGUUCUACUAAGAGCCAGCAUCACCAACUAACCAACACUACAAGACCUACCUACUACCAGCUAGGACAGCACACCACCCGGGACAGACUCUACUAUACCAUGUAAUACGCCUUUUUAUUACGAUCAUGAUACAAUUUGCUGCCCUCCCUUGCCCAUGGAUUGAAUAAUUAUGGACACUCGCAGGACAACUAAGAGACUGACACACAAUAAUAGACACCUAACUGCAUUUUUGCCAUUAAUAUAAUAAAAAUAAUUUUGCCAUUAA